UAUUGCAGAGUGCGGGGUAAAACUAAACUCACUCACUCCAAAAUACCUGUCAUUGUACAAUUGGGAUAUGAUACAAAGUUUAUGUGGGGUGAGAAUUUUUCACGGAAUUCCACUGAUUUGAUCACACUGGGGUCAUUCUUGUGAAUUGUCUAAACCUGCGGCCCCCAAGACCCUGGCACAUAUUCCUCUUUUUGCAUUUCUACCCAUUCUCAUCCGUGAUACUAUCGGUUAGAUGAUGCAAAAUGUAUCUGCCAACACCACACUGACUGUCAAAAUGAAGCUAUGGAUUAUAAUGGCUAUCAUUAUAACUAAGGGAUAUUACUGAGUGGGAAACACAAGAUGUUUCAAACAAGAAAUAUCAUAAACGAACUGACAUAACAAGCUAGUUUGGGAUCCCGGCCACUUGAUGUAUGUGUUAGUCGAAAUGUAUACAACUAAAAUUGGUUAUGACAAACUGCAGUUAAGCAGGACUCACACAGGUCGGGACGUCAUAAUGACCUACCGAUUUCCUUACAUUGUACAACAUGGUCGGUGGUUGUAACGAAUAUCGACUGAUCAAUUAGCUACCUCUAACACGAUUCAAUCUAGGGUCAAUCUCGUAAUAUCUCGCGGUAUUCUGUAUCCAUGGUAUCAAACUGUCGGAAGCAGACAUAGUAGCAGUUAUCUGCUGCGCGAUACUAUGUGAAGAAGCCAAAGCAAAGAAAAAGAUAAUUUUUUGGACAAAAUUAAGUUUCUCUGUCCCAACACGCAUGGAGCAUACAACCAUCUCAUUAAAGAACUUGAAAUUGAAGACAAACAAUCGUGAAAAUUCAAGGUGUGGUUUCUUUGAAGCAGACGAAGCCAUGUUUCGUGCUUGUAAACAUUUACCACGUGACACCAACACACAUCCAACUUGCCGAAUAUCUAGAACAGACUCUACACACUCACAACACAAUCAACACGGGUUAAACUGGCAGAUUUGUACUGUUUGUUGAAUUCAAUUAAUCACUCAGACGAUAUGAAUCCAUCAAAUUCGGCAUAUUGUUUGGACAAGCCAACCCGUGUGAGUCCGCCUUUAUAAUGAUCUGAAACUAGUGGUGCAUUUGUGUUCAUGAUAACCGUUCUUUACUGUACAUCUGUACAUGAGCUGUAUCGAUACAAAGCUAAGGUUAAUGGGUCCAUAGUGCUUGUCAUUCUACAAUGGGGACAUUAUGGACUGGAUACAGGGAAGACGUCCAACAAGGAGGUCAUGAGUGAGAGUGUUCCGGUGCUCUGGUGCAGGGUUCUGGCCUUGUACACGCUCCCCCUCACCUUUGCCAGCUAACUCCCUUCCAGCUGGAACAACAAACCUCAUCAUCGUCUCACUCUGUGGUUUUAAUGAUUUCUGAUGUCAUAUAGAGGAACUUUCUAAAUUGAAAACCACUUCUUUCUCAUCAUCGUCAUCACCAUCAUCAUACACAUACAAUGGACCUAAUGUUAAAUUAUUUAUUCAGUUCAUCAGAUGCUCACUUCUAACACAAUAUAUUUAGCUUUUUCGUUAACAGAUAAUAUCUUCAAAAUUAUCAUGGACGGUAAGAAUCAAAGAAUAGACUCGCGUAGUUUGUCCAUAUCGAUGCCUCUGACUUCAUGUUAUAAAACAUGAAGCUUUUUUGAUUGAUUUUAUUCACUGUUAGCGUAGAAUAUUUAUUAAACUAUAUAAUAUUUAUUCAUUCAUAUCAUAUUUAACGCUCAUGCUUCAUUUAAAUACUAUCCUAACCAGCAUGCUUUUUGUGUGUGUAGUCGAGGGAGUGGUUUUGUUGCUUCAUGGUGUUGUUGAAUUGUGAAAGAAAGAAAAAUCUUCUUUAUGUGUAUUUUUAAGGAGUUUGUUCCCACCAUACGUUGCUGUAUUUGAAUAGUUAAGAAUUUGUUAUCCUUAAUGUCUUAUCCUGAAGAAAUUUCUUCUGUUAAAAUAACUUUAUUUCGAAUAAUGAAAUAAGGAUUGACAUUCUGAAUUUAUUGAUGGUAAUUCUUGUGAAUGAGAAUAUGGCUAAUGUCUCUCAAUGUCAUUACAUACAUGUGAUGGGAGGUAAGUAUGACUACCAGCUCUGAUCAUAACUUGGUUACAUCUGAGUGUUAUGUUAAUCAGUAAAAAGAAAAAUCAGUAAAAUAUGUGAAAAAAUUGGAUAUUCCUUCUUUUGAGUAGUAUAUUAUCAUUGCUGGCAUGGAAAAUGGCUUAUGGGAAGAAGCAUGUCACUUUAGACCCUGGUAUGUUUUCAGUUUCAAUAGUCCCAUAUAUCAUUCAUUAAGUUAUAUAUACUGUAGGCCUUGACUUGAUGUUAGCAGGAUUUCUCUUGUUUGCUCUGCUUGACAUUGGUCUCCUUAUGAUGUUGUACUAACACACACUUUGGGGUGAUCGUUCCCUCGCUGGGAGGAGCUGAGUGGUUCUUUUAGGUGUUAUACUAACUCUCACACUUGGGGGGAUUGAUUUCACGCUGCGGGGUUCUUCAUGUCUUGGUUACUUAACAUAUAUCUAACAGAUGGAAGAGACAUGGAAUGGAAGGCUGGGGUAAAGUAGGCAUUGACUGGUAGUCUGGGGUAGGUGGGCAUUGACUGGUAGUCUGGGGUAGGUGGGCAUUGACUGGUAGUCUGGGGUAGGUGGGCAUUGACUGGUAGUCUGGGGUAGGGCGGGCAUUGACUGGUAGUCUGGGGUAGGGCGGGCAUUGACUGGUAGUCUGGGGUAGGUGGGCAUUGACUGGUAGUCUGGGGUAGGUGGGCAUUGACUGGUAGUCUGGGGUAGGUGGGCAUUGACUUGUAACUUGGGGUAGGUGGGCAUUGACUUGUAACCUGGGGUAGGUGGGCAUUGACUUGUAACCUGGGGUAGGGUGGGCAUUGACUGGU
RNAcentral lists this long non-coding RNA (2856 nucleotides) under Haliotis rubra (blacklip abalone). Its description in RNAcentral is "uncharacterized LOC124277826, transcript variant X5". The record is from RNAcentral. Lineage: Eukaryota; Metazoa; Mollusca; Gastropoda; Lepetellida; Haliotidae.